UGAGGAACAUGACCAUCGGCGGGGGAUAGCCGGCCCAACGGCCGGGUAAUACCGCGUACGACCACAUGGGGACAUCCCUGAGUGGUGAAAGCAGCAAUGCGCCGAUGGAGUGCCUCGCGGCCUAUCAGCUAGUUGGUGAGGUAACGGCUCACCAAGGCGACGACGGGUAGCUGGUCUGAGAGGAUGGCCAGCCACAUUGGGACUGAGACACGGCCCAGACUCCGUACGGGG
Molecule: ribosomal RNA, 231 nt
Filed under: uncultured bacterium
Lineage: Bacteria
Description: partial 16S ribosomal RNA
Rfam family: Bacterial small subunit ribosomal RNA
Source: RNAcentral